RNAcentral lists this ribosomal RNA (535 nucleotides) under Listeria monocytogenes. RNAcentral describes it as "bacterial SSU rRNA". It matches the Rfam family "Bacterial small subunit ribosomal RNA", at positions 1 to 517 of the family's 1533-position model. Lineage: Bacteria; Bacillati; Bacillota; Bacilli; Caryophanales; Listeriaceae. The record is from RNAcentral.
UUUUAUGGAGAGUUUGAUCCUGGCUCAGGAUGAACGCUGGCGGCGUGCCUAAUACAUGCAAGUCGAGCGAACAGACGAGGAGCUUGCUCCUCUGACGUUAGCGGCGGACGGGUGAGUAACACGUGGAUAACCUACCUAUAAGACUGGGAUAACUUCGGGAAACCGGAGCUAAUACCGGAUAAUAUAUUGAACCGCAUGGUUCAAUAGUGAAAGACGGUUUUGCUGUCACUUAUAGAUGGAUCCGCGCCGCAUUAGCUAGUUGGUAAGGUAACGGCUUACCAAGGCAACGAUGCGUAGCCGACCUGAGAGGGUGAUCGGCCACACUGGAACUGAGACACGGUCCAGACUCCUACGGGAGGCAGCAGUAGGGAAUCUUCCGCAAUGGGCGAAAGCCUGACGGAGCAACGCCGCGUGAGUGAUGAAGGUCUUCGGAUCGUAAAACUCUGUUAUUAGGGAAGAACAAAUGUGUAAGUAACUAUGCACGUCUUGACGGUACCUAAUCAGAAAGCCACGGCUAACUACGUGCCAGCAGCCG